This 517-nucleotide ribosomal RNA is filed under the name uncultured bacterium. RNAcentral describes it as "bacterial SSU rRNA". It matches the Rfam family "Bacterial small subunit ribosomal RNA", at positions 48 to 577 of the family's 1533-position model. The record is from RNAcentral.
CUUAGACUGCAGUCGAACGGGUUGCUAUUUUGUAGCAAUACAGAAUAGCGCUAGUGGCGAACGGGUGAGUAAUGUAAAAGUAACCUACCCCAGAGUGGAGCAAAACCCGCCGAAAGGUGGGCUAAUUCUCCAUAUUAUCCUAAAACAUAAGUUUUAAGAUGAAAGACUUCGGUCGCUCUGUGAGGGGCUUUUAUCCUAUCAGCUUGUUGGUGAGGUGACUGCUCACCAAGGCAGUGACGGGUAGGGGGUGUGAGAGCAUGAUCCCCCACAUGGGAACUGAGACACGGUCCCAACUCCUACGGGAGGCAGCAGUCUAGAAAUUUGGGCAAUGGGCGAAAGCCUGACCCAGCGACGCCGCGUGAGGGAUGACGUCCUUCGGGAUGUAAACCUUUGUUGAGGGGGACGAUAAUGACGGUACCCCUCGAGGAAGCCUCGGCUAACUCCGUGCCAGCAGCCGCGGUAAAACGGAGGAGGCAAGCGUUGUCCGGAAUCACUGGGCGUAAAGGGUGUGUAGGUG